RNAcentral lists this long non-coding RNA (633 nucleotides) under Neogobius melanostomus (round goby). RNAcentral describes it as "lncRNA (ENSNMLG00000015918.1)". The record is from RNAcentral. Lineage: Eukaryota; Metazoa; Chordata; Actinopteri; Gobiiformes; Gobiidae.
UCGUUAAAGGUGGGUAACGCCAGUUUGUUUUCGUGCUCGAAUUGUAAAUACAAGUAUGACAUAGCUUUAAAGUUUAUGAUUAACGCUGAUUGGUGCACUUUACCCUCCCCUCGGUGAGUUGGUACGUCCCCGGGCUGAUUCCGAGCGUGUGAAGUUUUGAGUGACAGUGGCGAGUCGCGCUCUGAACGGUUUUUUCGGGUUUGUCUGUACCACGGUACAGGCACAAACAAACAGCAUGCUGGGAGUGGAGCGCAGCCUGAACGGGUGAGGCCCUGGUCCCGCGCUCACAGUCCAAUCUGCGACCAAAGACAGGAGACCAGCCAGCAGAGAAAUAAUGGCUCAAAACGUGAACUUUGACCAGGACUUGUCUCUUAUGGAAACUGGGCUAGAGAGUCCAGUGGAUGAAGAUGGAGUUCACGACUCGUUCCAUCAGCUCAUCCAGGAGCAGAGUCAAAACGCUGGACUCCCGGAGACUUACGAGCUGCAGCAGCUACACAGGGAGCUGGAGGAGGAGGAGGAGGAGGAGGAGGAGGGACGAGGUAUCUUUAAUUUUGUGUUGAGAAACUAAUGUAAAUGUAUGAAAACUAAAAGUCAUGGUUUGUAAGUCUAAGUUCACCUAAAACUUGUCAGUUG